This 255-nucleotide ribosomal RNA is filed under the name uncultured bacterium. RNAcentral's name for it is "partial 16S ribosomal RNA". It matches the Rfam family "Bacterial small subunit ribosomal RNA", at positions 524 to 776 of the family's 1533-position model. The record is from RNAcentral.
UACGUAGGGUGCAAGCGUUAAUCGGAAUUACUGGGCGUAAAGCGUGCGCAGGCGGUUGUGCAAGACCGAUGUGAAAUCCCCCGGGCUUAACCUGGGAAUGGCAUUGGUGACUGCACGGCUAGAGUGUGUCAGGAGGGGGGUAGAAUUCCACGUGUAGCAGUGAAAUGCGUAGAGAUGUGGAGGAAUACCGAUGGCGAAGGCAGCCCCCUGGGAUAACACUGACGCUCAUGCACGAAAGCGUGGGGAGCAAACAGG